Molecule: ribosomal RNA, 444 nt
Filed under: uncultured organism
Description: bacterial SSU rRNA
Rfam family: Bacterial small subunit ribosomal RNA
Source: RNAcentral
GAUGAAUGCUGGCGGCGCGCCUAACACAUGCAAGUCGAGCGGUAACAGGUCUAGUUUACUAGAUGCUGACGAGCGGCGGACGGCUGAGUAACGCGUGGGAACAUGCCCCAAAGUGAGGAAUAACUGCCCGAAAGGGUAGCUAAUGCCGCAUAUGAUCUUCGGAUUAAAGGAUUUAUCCGCUUUGGGAGUGGCCCGCGUACGAUUAGGUAGUUGGUGAGGUAAUGGCUCACCAAGCCUACGAUCGUUAACUGGUCUGAGAGGAUGAUCAGUCAGACUGGAACUGAGACACGGUCCAGACUCCUACGGGAGGCAGCAGUGAGGAAUCUUCCACAAUGGGCGAAAGCCUGAUGGAGCGACGCCGCGUGCAGGAUGAAGGCCCUCGGGUUGUAAACUGCUUUUAUAAGUGAAGAAUAUGACGGUAACUUAUGAAUAAGCACCGGCUAA